GUUUCCGUAGUGUAGUGGUUAUCACGCCCGCCUAACACGCGGAAGGUCGCCGGUUCGAGCCCGGCUGGAAACA
This 73-nucleotide transfer RNA is filed under the name Orbicella faveolata. RNAcentral describes it as "tRNA-Val". It matches the Rfam family "tRNA". Rfam says of the family: Transfer RNA (tRNA) molecules are approximately 80 nucleotides in length. Their secondary structure includes four short double-helical elements and three loops (D, anti-codon, and T loops). The record is from RNAcentral. Lineage: Eukaryota; Metazoa; Cnidaria; Anthozoa; Scleractinia; Merulinidae.